This 2373-nucleotide long non-coding RNA is filed under the name Medicago truncatula (barrel medic). Its description in RNAcentral is "lncRNA gene23420". Lineage: Eukaryota; Viridiplantae; Streptophyta; Magnoliopsida; Fabales; Fabaceae. The record is from RNAcentral.
UUUUCAUUUUUUUUCUUCAUAGGAGGCCAAAAUCGCAAUUUUUUGAAACUUGGGAGUGAAAAAUGCACUUUAGUCUAAAAUAAAGGACAACAAUACAAUAUUUUGACCAAUGUUAGACGACAAUAGCAUAAUAAAUAUCUUAUACAUAAUACAAUAACACCAACACAACUACAACUUUAAAAAUUAAAGGAAAUCCUCUACUUCACUCUCACAAUCAAAGCUCCAUUGUUCUUCUCUUAUCAUCAUGUUGACUACAAUCUGCAUAUAAUGCAUAUAGUAAGAUGAUACACAAAGAAGAAGUGAGUACAUAUUAUAUCAUUUUAAAGGUACUACCUCCGUCCUUUAUUAUAAGACCCUUUUAGAAAAAACACGGGUUUUAAGAAAGUUGAUUAUUGUAUUAAAUUUGUUGACAAAUGAUAUUUUUUUUUUCAUGUUUACACUUCUAAUAAUUGAAAUCACAGUUCAUUAUUUUCCUAUAUUAAUUACCCACUACUACUUGAAUAAUGCACCAAAUUAAUUUAUCUCAUUGUAUCCAUAAUUGAAAAGGAAGCGUGAAUAACCAUUCCUUUUUUUUUUCCUAAAAAAAUAAAUUGAAAUCACUCUUUUUUUUCCCAAAAUUUCAAUUUUGAAGCUCCAGACUUAAAAUUUUUAGGAAUUAUUUUCAAAUUUUUGGCGCCAUUUUUUUAAGAACAUGGAGCAUGAAACAAGAGUAUAUAAACAUAUAGAGAAUUAAACAUAUUCUUCAUGAAAGAUUAUAGUAUAUCAUUAUAAAGUCAGCUAGUGCAUGAAUGAGAGUUAUACUAUUUUGUUUUCCCACGUAAACUUAUUGCUCUUCUUUUAUCAAAAGAAAAAAGAAUUUAUUGCUUUUCAAAAAAAUAUGUAGAGUAAAUAGGGGUAAUUUUGUAAAUAAAUAAUUAAUGCACUUGAAAAUAUCAAAAGGUCUUAUAAAAAGGGACACAAUUUUUUUCUAAAAGGGUUCUAUAAUAAGGGACGAAGAUAGUAUAAAGUAAAAGCAUAUGAACACACACACACAACAUCACAACAAUCAUGAUAGUAUAAUAUCAUAUGAUAUAAUGAUUACAAAUGUCUUACUCAACAUGCACUAAUCCAUAUCAAUAUGCUACCAAACUAACUUAUGAAAAAUUUGAUUAAGAUGGCAUCUUGUCUCACAUGUGAAGUAUAAAUGUGGAUUAUACGUCUUCAUUUAGUACACUCUCACUAAUGUGAUAUCAUUAAAUGAUUAGUUUACUUGUGUAUAAUAUGGUAUGACCUAACAUAAUAUAGCCAUUCUAGGUCAUUUAGAAUUUUCUCGUCAAACUUUCUAGGGUUAGGAUCUUGCCCUAAAUGCCUCACUAUUUCACAUCCACUUCAUCAAUUCAACAUGGUUAGUCUCUUGAUAAAUAUUUUGAAUGACCAUGAUACAUCAAAUAACAAGUGCACACCAUCCUUACCUCUACAAGCUAAGUCCCUAACAAUCACAAUAUUCAUUUAUUACAUCGUAAUAUUUCUUAGCCUUGGCCAAUAGUCAUCAACCAUGUAUCAUGCUUGCAUUAUUCAUCAUAGGUCACUUGAUAUCUUUUUCACCUCGUUCAUCCCGAGCAGACAAUAUAGACCAGGUAUUAUUCUAUCCUUUCUAGACCUAAAUCACACAAUAUCAAGUAUAACUCUAUCACGUAGUCUGAUAAAAUAUAUAUUCAAACUUCCUCAAGAUAACAUUCUAAAAUAUCAAUAUCAAUAUCAAUUAACUAGUCUCUUGAUGUUUAAAUAAUACUUCUAAAAUUCUUACAUUGUAUAUCAAAGACUCAGGUUAUACUUGUUAACUUAUAUUUAUCAAUCAUAUGCAAAAGAAAAGGUAACAACACUACAUAAUAUUAACAAUACACCUGUAUGGAUAUUAGAGAGAUGAGAAGGUCAGAGAAACAUCUACAAAAGUGUUGGAGAAAACAUAAGAGCAAUAAAGUUAUUAUGAGAAAAUAAAACUAUAGAUUUAUUCAUAACAUAUAAUUAUUUUUCAACUUACCUAUGAUUUAAUGCAAUGACACACGGGAAAAAUACAUCUCGGAACAUCAUCAGGAUUCUUACAUUUAUCUUGUGGGCAAUCAGAAUCAUAAAAACAUAAAACAUAUGCUGUGAUACACAAUAAGAAAGAAAAAAAACUAGUUAUUGAAUAGGGAUUAAGAUUUGCCUCAAAGGAAAAAAUAAAAAAGAAUGAUAGAUGGCUUACUUUCGGUGUUGGCUACAACAAAAAAUAGGAAAAUAAAUAUGAUCAUAACAUAAACAAGGUUAAGAACUUUAGUCAUAUUUUUUCUCUUUUGGAUGUAACUAUGUGAAAUGUUUUUAUUCACUUUAUAGUCAUAUAUAUGUAUAUGUAUA